Long non-coding RNA from Brienomyrus brachyistius, 348 nucleotides. RefSeq lists it as uncharacterized. The transcript is spliced from 3 exons. The record is from RefSeq and is a predicted model, not a curated record. NCBI's taxonomy places the organism in Eukaryota, Metazoa, Chordata, Actinopteri, Osteoglossiformes, Mormyridae.
CUGCCUCCAGUUUCGUGCUGUAAUAUGCCCUCCGAACGCCCCUCCUAUGGCUUACGAUGUAUACGUAUAAGGGUUGCACAGAAGCACUGCAUAGAUAAGUUGCUGGGUUGCAGGAGCAGCGGUCUGAGUAGAGAUGCCCGGACCUCCCUCUCCCCAGGCACCUCCUCCAGCUCUUGCAGAGAAAUACCCCUCCUACUGCAUGGUUGGACCAAAUACCAAAUGUUUCACUUACACAGUCAUGAGUUUGUAUCAAGUUUGUAUGAGUUUUGUAUUUUUUUCUUUUCUUUUUUUUAAUCUUUUUUUUAUAUUAAAACUCAAUGAUUAUGAAACUGUUUUUUAGAUGUUAAU